AGAGUUUGAUCCUGGCUCAGAACGAACGCUGGCGGCGCGUCUUAAACAUGCAAGUCGAACGUGAACCCUAGUGCUUGCAUUGGGGGGAAAGUGGCGAACGGGUGAGUAACACGUGGAUAAUCUACCUCCGGGUUGGGGAUAACCGGCCGAAAGGUUGGCUAAUACCGAAUAAGAUGAUAGUUACCUAGGUAGCAGUCAUUAAAGGUGGGGACCUUCGGGCCCACUGCCGGGAGAUGAGUCCGCGGCCCAUUAGCUUGUUGGUGGGGUAACGGCCUACCAAGGCGACGAUGGGUAGCCGGCCUGAGAGGGUGUACGGCCACAUUGGGACUGAGACACGGCCCAGACUCCUACGGGAGGCAGCAGUUAAGAAUCUUGCGCAAUGGGCGCAAGCCUGACGCAGCGACGCCGCGUGGGCGAUGAAGGCCUUCGGGUUGUAAAGUCCAGUAAGCAGGGAAGAAUAAGUUUCGGAUAAUACUCGAAAUGAUGACGGUACCUGCCUAAAGCCCCGGCUAACUACGUGCCAGCAGCCGCGGUAAUACGUAUGGGGCUAGCGUUGUUCGGAAUUAUUGGGCGUAAAGGGUGUCUAGGCGGGGGAUUAAGUAAGGUGUGAAAGCCAUGGGCUCAACCCAUGAAUUGCAUCUUAAACUGAUUCUCUUGAGUUAGGGAGAGGAGAGCGGAAUUCCAGGUGUAGCGGUGAAAUGCGUAGAUAUCUGGAAGAACACCAGUGGCGAAGGCGGCUCUCUGGCCUAUAACUGACGCUGAAGCACGAAAGCGUGGGGAGCGAACGGGAUUAGAUACCCUGGUAGUCC
This 809-nucleotide ribosomal RNA is filed under the name uncultured bacterium. RNAcentral describes it as "bacterial SSU rRNA". It matches the Rfam family "Bacterial small subunit ribosomal RNA", at positions 8 to 796 of the family's 1533-position model. The record is from RNAcentral.